GCCAAAUGGAAGAGCAGUGGUGAUGAAGAGAAACGCCACUUAAGACAGUGGGGCGGGCCAAGUUUCCUUUUGGCUGUUCCACCAGGAAGCUGUGUGACCAUGUGUCACAUGGCUGAGUAGUAACUUCUUUUUACCUUAAUUUUAAAUUUAAUUAUAGGUGCCCAGUUCAUUUUUACUGGGUGCGUGGCGAAGAAAUUAUUCCUCAUGGUCAUCGAAGGGGUCGAAUUGAUGACUUGCGGUACCAGAUAGAUGAUAAACCAAACAACCAGAUUCGAAUAUCCAAGCAACUCGCAGAGUUUGUGCCAUUGGAUUAUUCUGUUCCUAUAGAAAUCCCCACUAUAAAAUGUAAACCAGACAAACUUCCAUUAUUCAAACGGCAGUAUGAAAACCACAUAUUUGUUGGCUCAAAAACUGCAGAUCCUUGCUGUUACGGUCACACCCAGUUUCAUCUGUUACCUGACAAAUUAAGAAGGGAAAGGCUUUUGAGACAAAACUGUGCUGAUCAGAUAGAAGUUGUUUUUAGAGCUAAUGCUAUUGCAAGCCUUUUUGCUUGGACUGGAGCACAAGCUAUGUACCAAGGAUUCUGGAGCGAAGCAGAUGUUACUCGACCUUUUGUCUCCCAGGCUGUGAUCACAGAUGGAAAAUACUUUUCCUUUUUCUGCUACCAGCUAAAUACUUUGGCACUGACUACACAAGCUGAUCAAAAUAACCCUCGUAAAAAUAUAUGUUGGGG
This 733-nucleotide small RNA is filed under the name Pongo abelii (Sumatran orangutan). RNAcentral describes it as "processed transcript". Lineage: Eukaryota; Metazoa; Chordata; Mammalia; Primates; Hominidae. The record is from RNAcentral.